Molecule: small nuclear RNA, 106 nt
Filed under: Spermophilus dauricus (Daurian ground squirrel)
Lineage: Eukaryota; Metazoa; Chordata; Mammalia; Rodentia; Sciuridae
Source: RNAcentral
GUCACAUCACGGCAGCACAUAUACUAAAAUUGGAAUGAUACAGAGAAGAUUAGCAUGGCCCCUGCGCAUUGGGGACUUUUAAGGCUCUGGGACAGUGUUUGUUUAC